This 348-nucleotide RNase P RNA is filed under the name uncultured Parabacteroides sp. RNAcentral describes it as "Bacterial RNase P class A". It matches the Rfam family "Bacterial RNase P class A". Rfam says of the family: Ribonuclease P (RNase P) is a ubiquitous endoribonuclease, found in archaea, bacteria and eukarya as well as chloroplasts and mitochondria. Its best characterised activity is the generation of mature 5'-ends of tRNAs by cleaving the 5'-leader elements of precursor-tRNAs. The record is from RNAcentral. Lineage: Bacteria; Pseudomonadati; Bacteroidota; Bacteroidia; Bacteroidales; Tannerellaceae.
GCCGGUCUGUCGCUCAUUCCAAAUGGGAGGAAAGUCCGGGCAACGCAGAGCACCAUACUUCUUAACGGGAAGCUAUUCGCAAGGGUAGAGUAACGUAACAGAAAAGAACCGCCGGACUUGUCCGGUAAGGGUGAAAAGGUGAGGUAAAAGCUCACCGGGUUUCGUAGCAAUACGAAAUGCCGUACGUCUUAUGGGUUGUAAGGUCAUGUAUACCGGCGCAUGUAGGAUUGCUCGUCCGAUGCCGGGGGGUAGACCGCUAAAGCUUACCGGCGACGGUAAGACGAGAUAAAUGGCAGACAUUUCCGUGUAAAAAGCGGAAACACAGGACCCGGCUUACAGGCAGACUGC